Molecule: long non-coding RNA, 393 nt
Organism: Mytilus californianus (California mussel)
Lineage: Eukaryota; Metazoa; Mollusca; Bivalvia; Mytilida; Mytilidae
Exons: 3
Source: RefSeq, a predicted model, not a curated record
GGAGACGACGAUGACCGAUUUGUAACUGUAGUAAUAGACAACGAAGAAUCAACUCUGGAAUUUGUGAAUUUUUCAGAAGACGAGGAUCAAAGGUACCCAGUUGAUGCAUACAUUGUUGUAUUUUCCGUUUAUGAAAAGUCCAGUUACGACAUAGCCUGUAGGUUCCUACAAUGUAUUCGCAACGACCAGUUUAGUGACAGACCAAUUAUCUUGGUAGCUAAUAAAGUAGAUCUUGUGAGAAAAAGACAAAUAACCAAAGACGAGGCCAGAAAUCUAGCAUCGAAGUUCAAUUGUAAAUACAUAGAGACAUCAGCUACUUUGAAUAUAAAAGUGGACAAACUUCUUCUUGGAAUUUUGAAACAGAUAAAAAUUAAACUACAACCGGAGGUUACG